UACGUAGGGUGCAAGCGUUAAUCGGAAUUACUGGGCGUAAAGCGUGCGCAGGCGGUUUUGUAAGUCUGUUGUGAAAUCCCCGGGCUUAACCUGGGAAUGGCAAUGGAGACUGCAAGGCUUGAAUCUGGCAGAGGGGGGUAGAAUUCCACGUGUAGCAGUGAAAUGCGUAGAGAUGUGGAGGAACACCGAUGGCGAAGGCAGCCCCCUGGGUCAAGAUUGACGCUCAUGCACGAAAGCGUGGGGAGCAAACAGG
Molecule: ribosomal RNA, 253 nt
Filed under: uncultured bacterium
Lineage: Bacteria
Description: partial 16S ribosomal RNA
Rfam family: Bacterial small subunit ribosomal RNA
Source: RNAcentral